UACGGGGGGGGCAAGCGUUGUUCGGAAUUACUGGGCGUAAAGGGCGCGUAGGCGGCCUUCUAAGUCAGACGUGAAAUCCCUCGGCUCAACCGAGGAACUGCGUCUGAUACUGGAAGGCUUGAAUUCGGGAGAGGGAUGUGGAAUUCCAGGUGUAGCGGUGAAAUGCGUAGAUAUCUGGAGGAACACCGGUGGCGAAGGCGGCAUCCUGGACCGAUAUUGACGCUGAUGCGCGAAAGCCAGGGGAGCAAACGGG
This 253-nucleotide ribosomal RNA is filed under the name uncultured bacterium. RNAcentral's name for it is "partial 16S ribosomal RNA". It matches the Rfam family "Bacterial small subunit ribosomal RNA", at positions 524 to 776 of the family's 1533-position model. The record is from RNAcentral.